Molecule: long non-coding RNA, 968 nt
Organism: Bos taurus (domestic cattle)
Lineage: Eukaryota; Metazoa; Chordata; Mammalia; Artiodactyla; Bovidae
Source: Ensembl
CACAACAAAAUUGGUUGCUCUAUAUUGAUCCCCGUAAGCAUGAUGACCUAUGAUAAUGGGUUUUACCCAUCCACUCACAAGCCAGGGCAUAUUUUUCCAGAUAAUAGCUUCCCUGAAGACAGUGCCACCCAAGAUAAUUCAGAUGGUGCCAUUUGGAGAUUUCCACAUUUGUUUCAACUUGAACUUCUCCACUCUCUUCUCAUCGGGGGUGAUGGUGGCAUACUUGACACCAACGUUGUACUUCUUUAUAGCUUCUGCAGCGUCCUCGGUGACCUAGUCAUUGGUGGCAUCGUGAUUCUCUAUGCCUAAAUUGUAGCUGUGCUGAUCCAGUUCCACAUAGGGAAAAAUGAGUUUCUCUUUAAUCAACUCCCAAAUGAUUCAUGUCAUUUCAUCUCCUUGCAUCUCUACCACAGACCCGCCUUGGAUUUUUUGAGACAUUUUGACUUCAGUAGACCUCUUUACAAUUUCUAAUCACCCCAACCCCUCUCAAUCUUGCAGACUCAGCUUAUCUCCUGCGGGAAAGCUACAUUGACCAUGACCCGGGAGCACACAGUCCACUUUAGCAAUCCGGGCUGGACCCCAACUGUUCCGGAUUCUCACGGUGCCUCAGCAGAAACCCCCAGGUUUCAGAAAAAAUUCAAAAAGAAAUGAGGCAGCAGAAAGCAAGUAUGUGAAUCUUCUUUGUGCCAUUUCACAUACCUGGGGAUGGGAUACAGGAUACAUACCUGGGAGUGGAAUUGCUGGGUCACAUGCUAAUGAGACAGUUAACUUUUUGAGGAACGAUUAAGCUGCCUUUGUGGGUGUACCAUUUUACAUUAUUAUCAGCAAUGUAUGAGUGUUUUAAUUUCUUCACACCUCACUGAUGCUUGUUAUUUUCUGUUUUGUUUUGUUUUGGCUUGGCUUUGCUUGCAGCCAUCCCAGUGGGAGUAAAGUGGCAUCUCAUUGUGGUUUUCGUUUGUGUUUUCCUA